Molecule: non-coding RNA, 1062 nt
Organism: Prunus mume (Japanese apricot)
Lineage: Eukaryota; Viridiplantae; Streptophyta; Magnoliopsida; Rosales; Rosaceae
Source: RefSeq, a predicted model, not a curated record
AGGAUGUAACAAGCAUUUGUGUAUCCACGUGUCUAGCAAGUAAUGGGUCUUAUUUUAUUGGAACUUAACGAGGAAGGCUUAAACAGUACCUUUCUACUAGUUUUAAAGGGUCCAUCCUCUAUUCCAAACACACAUUCAAAACAUCUAGUCUCUAUUGCCGGUUGAACAUACGAACUCUACAGAGGAUAGAAUAAACAUUCCUUUCAGCUUUCAUCAAUGGCAGAUGGAUCUCGAACUGAAGCUAAACAACUGAACAAGAGCCCCAAGGAGAAUUCUGGAGAAAGAAAUGAACAAGAGCUUCUGCAAAACGAAAAUAGUGAGACCAAGAUUCAUAGGAAUGAAAUCAGCUCAUCUGAAGCCACAGAAGUUGGGGUUUUCGACUUCAACAACGACUAUCGUGCAGGUUAUAUUGAUGGUCUUGAAGCAAGGAGGGGUCGAAACUACAACAUUAGGGGCAAUAAAAUCCAUUCAAACAAAGGCCAGCGUGUGGGGAUUGGCAAAUUCGGCAACAACUACUCCACGUCGAACGUUUCAUUCUUUCUUGGUGGGCUUAUUAUUCUAGUUUUUGCUAUAUAUAAUAUAUAUAGCGAAGCUAGCGGUACGAACAAGAAGAAAAUAUAAAUAAGAUAAAAAGGUAAGGGGCUGCUGAAUAAACAGGCUGGAAUUUGCAAGAAGAAAACAAAAACUGAGAUGUAUGGUUUGGAGAUUUAUGGCCACCAGAGCUCCUACACUUGAACUUUUCUCUGAAUCUGAAUGUUAUUUGUCUACAUGCAAUCAGUACUGUUUCCUCUUGUUCUAGCUUUUUUCUUUAUAUCCACCUAUGAAGCAAGGAUACUCUUAUUUAUAAAUUAUAAUAGGAACAAGAAGAAAUAUGAACCCCACGUUGAAGUAGCAUUCCCAUCCCCAACACGCCUGCCGUGGCCUGAAUAAAUUAUAUUUUUUAAGAAUGUAUGUGUGAACCCUCGUUCUCCUCAACACUGGUCCGCUCAUGAAGUCGGAAAACCCAACUUGUGUACUUUGUUCUGAGAUUAUUUUAUUCUAGUCAAUGGUGGUUUCCAUGCU